CUUUGCACUAAUGUCAUAAGAAGACAGCAAUAAAUUCAAUGGCAAAAACGGAAAGGAAAUUCUCCGCUAUUGUUGGACCCGCCAAGACAUCAAAAGAGAGAACAAUUCUCGUAAUGAAGGGCAACAACUGAAAAAAUAAAGCCAAGCCAUGGAAAAGACACAGACAGUAUCGUUUUGAACCACUUGCAUGGGCAAGAUUGGAAAGGAAAUUCUCCGCUAUUAAUGGACCCAUCAAGAUAUCAAACGACAAAAGAGGCCUCAUUUUGUAAAACAUGUCAUAGCAUAUACAUGAGGGCUAACUUAUAAUUAAAUUCACCCAAAUCAAUAUGAAAAUACUGUUACUUUGAGAACUCACUAUUAUUAUAUACCAUAUGAGUUGGCGUAGCGUAACCAUUUGACGGUAUCAUGGUUCUUGAACCCUUGUACUCAUAAGCCUAAGCCCAUUGGCUUCUCCUCCCACCCAGCGUGGCGGAACAAACAAGCGCAUGAAUUCGUUCGAAGGAAUUUUCAGCAGGUGCUUUUGAUUUCACCAGCGAUCAUUAGUUGGCAAAUAUGGAAAGAGAGGAAUGAAAAAGCGUUUGAUCACAGUGAUCCUACUCCAUUCUACGUUAUCGAGAAUUCGCACAGGCUGGUAGAUAUUCAAAUGGGUCCCUCAUAGCUUAUUAUUCACCAGCAAUUAACCUUCUUCGCAACCGCUGCAGGUUACCUGGUCCCCUCAUGGCUUUGGAUAUCUCUAGCUGAAUUGUGAUGUUGCUCGGAUAGGAUCCAAUAUUCAAGCCACUAUUAGCGUCGUUAGAAAUCAUACUAGUAAAAUUGUCCUAAGAAGGUGAGUUGCUCCUCCCCCUUGGCAGGAGAAGCUAAAGCUGCGUUGUAGGCAAUGUCACAAGCUAAGACUCUGGGAAUCCCCUUUUAUUCUGGAAACAGAAACAUAUAAAUAGAAUAAACAAGUGACCAUCCAUUGACAUAAAAUCUCAAACUAAUAGUUAAACAAAAGCAUAGGAUUGAUUCCUCUAGUCUCAAAAUUUGAGAAACAAAGUAUUACUAUCUAUGCACUGUCAGAUUCAUUUCCUGAGUCUACAUUCACUGGCUGAGGGUUCCUGUAGCCACUGACUUCAUCAUUAUAUCGCUUUUUAUCUGCUCGAGCCUUUGCUUCAUACGGUUCUUUCUCCUCCGCUGACAAUUGUUUCCACCUGUCUCCAAGAACUUUUCCAACCUCCCCAAAAGCAAUGCCAGGAUUACUUUUCUUCACAUUCUCCCUUUCCAUUUGUGAGAAGAACAUGAAACCAGACAUUGCCUUCUUAGGUGCAUUUGGAUCCUUCUUCUUCUUUUGUUUUUUCUUCUUAGAUGCAUCCUCAUUUCCCUCUUUGGAUCUCUUCUUCGAUGCACCCUUAGAAGAUGAGGGCUCCUUUUUAGAUUCCUUUUUCAUAGGCUUCUUUUUCUCAUCUCCACUUUCACUAGCAUCAGAUUCUUCCUCCCCAGAAUCAUCAGUAGGAGAGCCUUCAUCAUCUUUGUCAGCAACAAAAUCUUCAUCCUCUUCAUCACUCUCAUCUCCAGCUUCAUUCUUGAUGCGCUCAAGAUGUGGGUCAACAGCAUCAUCGUCUUCAUUCUGGAGAACAGCAGCCACUCCAUUUGUGGUUUGCAUAUCACCCAGGUUCAUAAUCUUCAGACCCUUCCCACUGAUGAAGUCAAAAAGAUUGUGAUACUCAUUUCUCUGGAUGUUCCGGAACAGAUGUUCUUGCUCGGUUUUUAGUCUUAUAAGAAGAUCAAAGUAAUGCAUAUUUGAGCCACCAGCUGCGUGCCUCUCAAAUUCAACAUAAUCAAUCUCCUCAUGAAGAAUAAGAGUUGGAGGUUUCGGUAAGAAGAAGAAGCUUUUCUCAAGUGGAUAUAGAAGGCCAUCUUCAGCUUUCAGUGAUGACUUCACUGCAUAACCAUCUUGACAGCUACGGAAUUUUCCUGGUUUAGUUACUUUUGCACCAGACAAGCCCCGCAAUACUGCUGUGAACACAUCAUGAAUGAGUCCCUUAUAAGAUGGUUCUAACUUGUCCUUGUACUUUGUGCUCAAAAGGUCUUCAUUGAUUGACAAUGCAUUUUGGACCACAUUGUCAGUGUCAAACUGCAACACAAUGUGGGGAUACAAAGUUUGCCCCUUGCGAAUAGGGGGGUCAAGCAUAACAACAACAAAAGUAUGUGGCUGGUUAGACUUUGGAAGCAAAAAUAGGCGAACAACACUGCUGUACUGAAUUUUGAAAUCAUUGGCUUGUCCUUGGAGCCGCAGGAAUGACAAAUGAAGUUCAACAUUAUACCGACCCCUUGGUGUCAGGAUUGCAACACCAUCAAACGUAACAACAGCUUCUUCACCACCAGGGUCAACAUCUGCCAUUGACAAAAUCUUUUCUCGGAAGACCUUGCACAAAGUUAAGAAUCAAUAAAUAAGUGAAGUAGUGGACAGACAAAGCACACGUAUAUGAUUGUAACUAACAAUUCUGUUAACAAAAAUUUUCUUCCAUUAAAGAAAGGAAAAAGAAACAAAACGGAUAGAAUGAAAGACAGAGCAUAUAUAACAAGAAAAAUAAGAAAUAAAUAACUUACCUGAGCAGGAGGUCGAUUUUCAUCACCAACAUAUUGGGUGUUGUUACCAGGUAUGUGAAAACUCAUCUCCAUCAAUGAAUCUUU
RNAcentral lists this unclassified non-coding RNA (2673 nucleotides) under Hevea brasiliensis (rubber tree). The record is from RNAcentral. Lineage: Eukaryota; Viridiplantae; Streptophyta; Magnoliopsida; Malpighiales; Euphorbiaceae.